CCUACGGGAGGCAGCAGUGGGGAAUCUUGCGCAAUGGGCGAAAGCCUGACGCAGCCAUGCCGCGUGAAUGAUGAAGGUCUUAGGAUUGUAAAAUUCUUUCACCGGGGACGAUAAUGACGGUACCCGGAGAAGAAGCCCCGGCUAACUUCGUGCCAGCAGCCGCGGUAAUACGAAGGGGGCUAGCGUUGCUCGGAAUUACUGGGCGUAAAGGGAGCGUAGGCGGAUAGUUUAGUCAGAGGUGAAAGCCCAGGGCUCAACCUUGGAAUUGCCUUUGAUACUGGCUAUCUUGAGUAUGGGAGAGGUAUGCGGAACUCCGAGUGUAGAGGUGAAAUUCGUAGAUAUUCGGAAGAACACCAGUGGCGAAGGCGGCAUACUGGCCCAUUACUGACGCUGAGGCUCGAAAGCGUGGGGAGCAAACAGGAUUAGAUACCCUGGUAGUCCACGCUGUAAACGAUGAGUGCUAGUUGUCGGCAUGCAUGCAUGUCGGUGACGCAGCUAACGCAUUAAGCACUCCGCCUGGGGAGUACGGUCGCAAGAUUAAAACUCAAAGGAAUUGACGGCUGAGACGNGCGAGACGACGACGAGGGAGGAGG
RNAcentral lists this ribosomal RNA (593 nucleotides) under uncultured bacterium. RNAcentral describes it as "bacterial SSU rRNA". It matches the Rfam family "Bacterial small subunit ribosomal RNA", at positions 338 to 948 of the family's 1533-position model. The record is from RNAcentral.